ACGUCUAACGAACGCAAAGUGUUUUAGAAAAUAGAACCAUUGUUGUAGGUAAAAUUACUUAUGACUAAUAUUGGACUCUAAAAUAACAUUUGACUAUAGCGAAUAUUAAAAUAUGUGGGGGACUAUUUUGCGAUAUCACAAACCGGAAGAAGACUUACUCCGCCAAGAGCUCGUGAUGCAUCUUACGUCACACCAAAGGAGCUGAAUUUGAGUGUUGCUUUUGAUGGUUAAAGGCCUGUGAUGCAGUUAUUGAAAGUUGCAGUACAUUUAUAAUGGCAUACAUUGGGAAAUUCACAGAUAGAAGCCCCUCUAUAAGAGCGAUUCGAAGGGACGGAGCCAUGUCUGAUGUAGCUCAAGCUGGCGGACUGAUUAAUGCGUGAUUUCUAAUCAGUUGCAUUUAUUUUAAGUUCUUUAAUUAUUUAUUGUUUUGAAACUUAUCAACUUGUUAACACUGAUUCUCUCACUGUUUCUUGUAUCUGAAUGUCUUAUGUAUGAAUGUUAAAACUUUUUGUAAUGUUGUGUAAUUUUCAGUAAUGGAAUUACUAACAAUGAUAUAGUGGCUUUGCAACACCUGGUUUGAUUUGUUUAUUUGGUCACUGUUAAAAUACUGUUAAGACAAAUAAAUAUUAUGAAAAGUUUUUAAA
Long non-coding RNA from Schistocerca nitens (vagrant locust), 644 nucleotides. RefSeq lists it as uncharacterized. The record is from RefSeq and is a predicted model, not a curated record. The transcript is spliced from 2 exons. NCBI's taxonomy places the organism in Eukaryota, Metazoa, Arthropoda, Insecta, Orthoptera, Acrididae.